Molecule: ribosomal RNA, 433 nt
Filed under: uncultured bacterium
Lineage: Bacteria
Description: partial 16S ribosomal RNA
Rfam family: Bacterial small subunit ribosomal RNA
Source: RNAcentral
AACGAACGCUGGCGGCAUGUCUUACACAUGCAAGUCGAACGAGACCUUCGGGUCUAGUGGCGCACGGGUGCGUAACGCGUGGGAACCUGCCCUUAGGUUCGGAAUAACUCCCCGAAAGGGGUGCUAAUACCGGAUAAUGUCUUCGGACCAAAGAUUUAUCGCCUUUGGAUGGGCCCGCGUUGGAUUAGCUAGUUGGUAGGGUAAAAGCCUACCAAGGCGACGAUCCAUAGCUGGUCUGAGAGGAUGAUCAGCCACACUGGGACUGAGACACGGCCCAGACUCCUACGGGAGGCAGCAGUGGGGAAUAUUGGACAAUGGGCGAAAGCCUGAUCCAGCAAUGCCGCGUGAGUGAUGAAGGCCUUAGGGUUGUAAAGCUCUUUUACCCGGGAUGAUAAUGACAGUACCGGGAGAAUAAGCUCCGGCUAACUCCGUG